This 279-nucleotide ribosomal RNA is filed under the name uncultured bacterium. RNAcentral describes it as "partial 16S ribosomal RNA". It matches the Rfam family "Bacterial small subunit ribosomal RNA", at positions 506 to 784 of the family's 1533-position model. The record is from RNAcentral.
UGCCAGCCGCCGCGGUAAUACGGAGGAUCCAAGCGCUAUCCGGAAUUAUUGGGUUUAAAGAGCUCGUAGGUGGUUAAAAAAGUUGAUGGUGAAAUCCCAAGGCUUAACCUUGGAACUGCCAUCAAAACUUUUUAGCUAGAGUAUGAUAGAGGAAAGUGGAAUUUCUAGUGUAGAGGUGAAAUUCGUAGAUAUUAGAAAGAACACCAAAUGCGAAGGCAACUUUCUGGAUCAUUACUGACACUGAGGAGCGAAAGCAUGGGUAGCGAAGAGGAUUAGAUA